GUAGACAAAACACCCUGGAUAAUA
Molecule: non-coding RNA, 24 nt
Filed under: Arabidopsis thaliana (thale cress)
Lineage: Eukaryota; Viridiplantae; Streptophyta; Magnoliopsida; Brassicales; Brassicaceae
Source: RNAcentral